UAAGACGAAGGUGACGACCGUUGCUCGGAAUUACUGGGCAUAAAGCGCGCGUAGGUGGCAGGGUAAGUCCAUGGUGAAAUCCCUCGGCUCAACCGAGGAAGUGCCGUGGAUACUGCUCUGCUUGAGGACGGGAGGGGUGAGUGGAACUCUCGGUGUAGCGGUGAAAUGCGUAGAUAUCGAGAGGAACGCCGGUGGCGAAAGCGACUCACUGGACCGUUUCUGACACUGAUGCGCGAAAGCUAGGGGAGCAAACAGGAUUAGAUACCCUGGUAGUCCUAGCUGUAAACGAUGGGUACUGGGUAAGGGAGGUCCAAUGCCUUCCUUGCCGGAACAAAUGCGUUAAGUACCCCGCCUGGGGAGUAUGGUCGCAAGGCUA
This 376-nucleotide ribosomal RNA is filed under the name uncultured bacterium. RNAcentral's name for it is "bacterial SSU rRNA". It matches the Rfam family "Bacterial small subunit ribosomal RNA", at positions 521 to 896 of the family's 1533-position model. The record is from RNAcentral.